RNAcentral lists this long non-coding RNA (355 nucleotides) under Salmo trutta (river trout). RNAcentral's name for it is "lncRNA (ENSSTUG00000041232.1)". The record is from RNAcentral. Lineage: Eukaryota; Metazoa; Chordata; Actinopteri; Salmoniformes; Salmonidae.
CAGGUGGAUAUCUCCACCACAGUGGAGGGGUUCCAGGAGAGGGGGGAUGACAUGAUGGCGUAUCAGUUCUCUACCUCUGACAUUAUCACCAUCCCUCAUGAGCCGUCCUCUGGCUCCUCUCACCAGUUCCCCCAGGAUUCUCCACCUCCCCCUCCGCCUCCCCCGUUCCCUUCCGAUUCCCCUCCACCUUACCACUUCACCCAGGACCAGGCCCAGGACCAGACCCCUGACAGCACUCCUCAGGAGUUUGUGGAGGAGCAACAUAAUGCUGCAGAUGUGCCCCAGCUGUGGUGAGUUUGCUGUCAUGUGUUCAUCUAUAGUAAAAACAUUUGCUUUGAAAUAAUCUGCCCCUAUA